This 119-nucleotide ribosomal RNA is filed under the name Pteropus vampyrus (large flying fox). Lineage: Eukaryota; Metazoa; Chordata; Mammalia; Chiroptera; Pteropodidae. The record is from RNAcentral.
GUCUACGGCCACAGCACCCUGAGCAAGCCCGAUCCCGUCUGAUCUCGGAAGCUAAGCAGCAUCGGGCCUGGUUAGCACUUGGAUGGGAGACCACCUAAGAAGACCGGGUGCUGUAGGCA